GACGAACGCUGGCGGCGUGCUUAACACAUGCAAGUCGAACGGCAAGGCCCUGCUUUUGUGGGGUGCUCGAGUGGCGAACGGGUGAGUAACACGUGAGUAACCUGCCCUUGACUUUGGGAUAACUUCAGGAAACUGGGGCUAAUACCGUAUAGGAGCUCCUGCUGCAUGGUGGGGGUUGGAAAGUUUCGGCGGUUGGGGAUGGACUCGCGGCUUAUCAGCUUGUUGGUGGGGUAGUGGCUUACCAAGGCUUUGACGGGUAGCCGGCCUGAGAGGGUGACCGGCCACAUUGGGACUGAGAUACGGCCCAGACUCCUACGGGAGGCAGCAGUGGGGAAUAUUGCACAAUGGGCGGAAGCCUGAUGCAGCAACGCCGCGUGCGGGAUGAAGGCCUUCGGGUUGUAAACCGCUGUCGCCUGUGACGAAGCGUGAGUGACGGUAAUGGGUAAAGAAGCACCGGCUAACUACGUG
This 468-nucleotide ribosomal RNA is filed under the name uncultured bacterium. RNAcentral describes it as "partial 16S ribosomal RNA". It matches the Rfam family "Bacterial small subunit ribosomal RNA", at positions 28 to 507 of the family's 1533-position model. The record is from RNAcentral.